CUCUCGGUAGCCAAGUUGGUUUAAGGCGCAAGACUGUAAUUUAUCACUACGAAAUCUUGAGAUCGGGCGUUCGACUCGCCCCCGGGAGA
Non-coding RNA from Saccharomyces cerevisiae S288C, 89 nucleotides. NCBI's taxonomy places the organism in Eukaryota, Fungi, Ascomycota, Saccharomycetes, Saccharomycetales, Saccharomycetaceae. The record is from Rfam.